GACGAACGCUGGCGGCGGGCUUAACACAUGCAAGUCGAACGGAAAGGCCCUGCGUUUGUGGGGUGCUCGAGUGGCGAAAGGGUGAGUAACACGUGAGUAACCUUCCCUUGACUUUGGGAUAACUUCAUGAAACUGGGGCUAAUACCGGAUAGGAGCUCCUGCGGCAUGGUGUGGGUUGGAUAGUUUCGGCGGUUGGGGAUGGACUCGCGGCUUAUCAGCUUGUUGGUGGGGUAGUGGCUUACCAAGGCUUUGACGGGUAGCCUGCCUGAGAGGGUAAACGGCCACAUUGGGACUGAGAUACGGCCCAGACUCCUACGGGAGGCAGCAGUGGGGAAUAUUGCACAAUGGGCGGAAGCCUGAUGCAGCAACGCCGCGUGCGGGAUGACGGCCUUCGGGUUGUAAACCGCUUUCGCCUGUGACGAAGCGUGAGUGACGGUAAUGGGUAAAGAAGCACCGGCUAACUACGUG
Molecule: ribosomal RNA, 468 nt
Filed under: uncultured bacterium
Lineage: Bacteria
Description: partial 16S ribosomal RNA
Rfam family: Bacterial small subunit ribosomal RNA
Source: RNAcentral